Molecule: non-coding RNA, 84 nt
Organism: Caulobacter vibrioides
Lineage: Bacteria; Pseudomonadati; Pseudomonadota; Alphaproteobacteria; Caulobacterales; Caulobacteraceae
Source: Rfam
GCCCAGGUGGCGGAAUUGGUAGACGCGCUGGCUUCAGGUGCCAGUGACCGAAAGGUCGUGGAGGUUCGAGUCCUCUCCUGGGCA